GUGCCAGCCGCCGCGGUAAUACGGAGGGGGCGAGCGUUAUUCGGAAUUAUUGGGCGUAAAGGGCGCGUAGGCGGCUUUCUAAGUCAAAGGUGAAAUCCCUCGGCUCAACUGAGGAACUGCCUUUGAAACUGGAAGGCUUGAGGCCGGGAGAGGGUAGCGGAAUUCCCAGUGUAGCGGUGAAAUGCGUAGAUACUGGGAGGAACACCGGUGGCGAAGGCGGCUACCUGGACCGGUUCUGACGCUGAGGCGCGAAAGCGUGGGUAGCAAACAGGAUUAGAAACCCCUGUAGUCC
This 292-nucleotide ribosomal RNA is filed under the name uncultured bacterium. RNAcentral describes it as "partial 16S ribosomal RNA". It matches the Rfam family "Bacterial small subunit ribosomal RNA", at positions 505 to 796 of the family's 1533-position model. The record is from RNAcentral.